RNAcentral lists this ribosomal RNA (304 nucleotides) under uncultured bacterium. RNAcentral's name for it is "bacterial SSU rRNA". It matches the Rfam family "Bacterial small subunit ribosomal RNA", at positions 22 to 358 of the family's 1533-position model. The record is from RNAcentral.
GCUCAGAACGAACGCUGGCGGCGUGCUCACACAUGCAAGUCGAACGAACCUUCGGGUUAGUGGCGGACGGGUGAGUAACGCGUGAGAAUCUGCCCUCAGGAGGGGGAUAACGGUUGGAAACGACCGCUAAUACCCCAUAUGCCGAGAGGUGAAAAGAAAUUCGCCUGAGGAUGAGCUCGCGUCUGAUUAGCUAGUUGGUGUGGUAAUGGCGCACCAAGGCUUCGAUCAGUAGCUGGUCUGAGAGGAUGAUCAGCCACACUGGGACUGAGACACGGCCCAGACUCCUACGGGAGGCAGCAGUGGG